CCCUUAGAUGUCCUGGGCCGCACGCGCGCUACACUGACAUGUUCAACAAGCCUCCUAGUUCGACAGGAUUUGGGAAAUCUUUGAACGCAUGUCGUGAUAGGGAUAGAUCAUUGCAAUUAUUGAUCUUGAACGAGGAAUUCCUAGUAAACGCGAGUCAUCAGCUCGCAUUGAUUACGUCCCUGCCCUUUGUACACACCGCCCGUCGCACCUACCGAUUGAAUGUUUCGGUGAAGAUUCCGGAUAGGACUUUUUUGAUUUAUUUCAAUUUUGUCUUAAAAGCAAUCUAAACCUCAACAUUUAGAGGAAGGUGAAGUCGUAACA
This 321-nucleotide ribosomal RNA is filed under the name uncultured eukaryote. Its description in RNAcentral is "partial 18S ribosomal RNA". It matches the Rfam family "Eukaryotic small subunit ribosomal RNA", at positions 1470 to 1796 of the family's 1831-position model. The record is from RNAcentral.